AGUAGAUGAGGGGAUCACUACAACCAUAAGAUAGAAAGGUCAAAUUAAGUAGAACAUUUCUAACCCUCACAGGAAUCUUAUGAGAUAUUAUUAUCCCCAUUUUUCAGAGGAAGACACGGUGGUUCAAAAAGUCAACUUACUACUAAUUGAACAUACAACUUAUUAGUUGAGUGUGUGAACUCACACAUCUCCAUGAGGUAGCAUCACAACAUCUCAUCCACCUAGCUCAGGGGAUAAAGCAAGAUAACACAGGCUGGAGGGGCUAGAGAGAAGUGAGAUGAGGGAGACAAGAUGAAGUCGCAUCCAAAGAUGAGGUGGCCACUGGCUGAUGGAUCGAUUCCGACAAGAAUAAAACAAUUCAUAGAAAUCAAUGUCACCGACCCGCAGAUGCAUCUCAGAAUUGAUGCCAAACACAAGGGCAGCAUGAAAACACACAGCUCCCAAACUGAAGGAGCUGUAGCAUCUUGAAGACAUCUGGCCUGCAGAAACAGAAUGCUCAAUAAUACCCAUUCGUGGUUACUGAGAAGUCACUACACGUUGAGCACUAGGCUACAUGUUGACAUUUAAGAACUAUAACAUCCUAAUAAGUAAGUGUUAAUAUUCUUAUUCCUAUUUUAAGGUUAAGGAAACUGAGGUUAAAGAA
Molecule: long non-coding RNA, 643 nt
Filed under: Pan troglodytes (chimpanzee)
Lineage: Eukaryota; Metazoa; Chordata; Mammalia; Primates; Hominidae
Description: lncRNA (ENSPTRG00000053974.1)
Source: RNAcentral